UGAAUACGAGACGCUAAGGCGUCGAAGUAGUGUAUGUCAUACUUCCAAGAAAAGCUUGCACUGUCAUAAGUAAAAAAUGCCUGUACCAUAACCGACACAGGUGGGUAGGUAGAGUAUACUAAGGGGCGCGAGAUAACUCUCUCUAAGGAACUCGGCAAAAUAACUCCGUAACUUCGGGAGAAGGAGUACCUUAUUCUAUAAGGUUGCAAUAACAAGAUCCAAGCAACUGUUUAUCAAAAACACAGGUCUCCGCUAAGUCGUAAGACGAUGUAUGGGGGCUGACGCCUGCCCAGUGCCAGAAGGUUAAAGAAGUCGGUUAGCAUUAGCGAAGCUGGUAACUGAAGCCCUGGUGAACGGCGGCCGUAACGAUAACGGUCCUAAGGUAGCGAAAUUCCUUGUCGGGUAAGUUCCGACCCGCACGAAAGGCGUAAUGAUUUGGAUACUGUCUCGGAGAGGGGCUCGGUGAAAUAGACUUGUCUGUGAAGAUGCGGACUACCUGCACCAGGACAGAAAGACCCUAUGAAGCUUUACUGUAACUUGAAAUUGAAAUUGGACUUUAUUCGCGCAGUAUAGGUGGGAGGUGUUGAUUAUAAUCUUGCGGGAUUAUUGGAGCCAUCAGUGAGAUACCACUCUUGUAAUGUUAGAUUUCUAACUUUGAAUCAUUAUCUGGUCAAAGGACAGUUUCAGGCGGGCAGUUUGACUGGGGCGGUCGCCUCCCAAACGGUAACGGAGGCGUACAAAGGUUUCCUCUGAACGGGUAGAAAUCGUAUCUAGAGUGUAAAGGCAUAAGGAAGCUUGACUGUGUGACCUACAAGUCGAACAGGGACAAAAGUCGGUCUUAGUGAUCUGACGGUACUGAGUGGAAAGGCCGUCACUCAACGGAUAAAAGUUACUCUAGGAUAACAGGCUGAUCUCCCCCAAGAGUUCACAUCGACGGGGAGGUUUGGCACCUCGAUGUCGGCUCAUCGCAUCCUGGGGCGGUAGUACGUCCCAAGGGUUGGGCUGUUCGCCCAUGAAAGCGGUACGCGAGCUGGGUUCAGAACGUCGUGAGACAGUUCGGUCCAUAUCCGGUGUAGGCGUUAGAAUAUUGAGAGGAGCCUUCUUUAGUACGAGAGGACCGAGAAGGACAUACCUCUGGUGUACCAGUUAUCGUGCCAACGGUAAACGCUGGGUAGCUAUGUAUGGAGUGGAUAACCGCUGAAAGCAUCUAAGUGGGAAGCCCACCUCAAGAUAAGUAUUCUCA
Molecule: ribosomal RNA, 1243 nt
Filed under: metagenome
Description: bacterial LSU rRNA
Rfam family: Bacterial large subunit ribosomal RNA
Source: RNAcentral